Molecule: long non-coding RNA, 206 nt
Filed under: Mus spicilegus (steppe mouse)
Lineage: Eukaryota; Metazoa; Chordata; Mammalia; Rodentia; Muridae
Description: lncRNA (ENSMSIG00000031351.1)
Source: RNAcentral
CUGGCUUGUAUGCUCCAAGUGACUGAGUUUACACUGUGUCUGUUCUGACAUAACAAAAUUACAUCGAAAAGGCAUUGGAGAGACAAAACCGCUUUUAUACUUCAUCAAGAUGCCACCGUGUUACCUGAUAAUCACGUAUCUCCUGGAUGAAGACGCCAAAGCUUAAAGAAUCCAGAGUCUCGCCCAAGUUCAGAGUCCUGCACAAU